CUUUUUCACAGCAGACUUACUAGCUAUCUGUGAAGAGUGAUACUUGUAUGUUUGUUAAUAUCACUUAUCAUAGCCUCCCAGGUAGCUACUAAGUGUGCUGUGAUAUUAACAAAUAUCACUUUUCACAGCAAGCCCAGGACCCGCUAAGCCCUGGAUGGGGCUAAAGGGGGAGGCAGCAUUAUUUUUGUUAUUGAGUCUGCCAAAAAACCCUACCGAUAUACAUUACAAUGAUUUGGAAGUGUAUCUGUGCAUAUUUAAUUGUUUUUCCUAAAGUUAAUUAAGUAUUUUAGGGAAAAAAGUGUCAGUGUGGCCACCAGUGAGAGUUGGGGGCCACACUCUGAGGCUAUCAAAAAUUUUGUUGCAAGAACCCCUGGCCUAGAGCCCUUCCCUUAGCCACACAUUUCACUGACCAUUCAUAGCAAUAUAUUUCACUGCGCUUCUCAGUUAGUGCUCUGAUACCAGCAUGAUGGACUCAGUAUAAAAACCUGAAGAGGAAAUUCAGCUAAAUUAGUAAUAUAGCUAACCCUGCACAUUUUAGGAGCUUGGUAGAUUUUUUGCUAAUAUAGUCAGUUUGAGAGUUUCAAAGGCUCAUAACUUUGUAAAUCAACACCAAGAAUUUAGUCAUUAAGAUUUUUAAUAAGGUUUUAUUACUAUAGAAUAAUAUUAUGCAGUGUUCAUUACUGUAUUUUCUGGUUUGCUUCCAGGCAACUUGAUUUCUAUCCAUGUUCUAGUGCUUAAGGAUGUGUUCAUGUAUGCUGUGGCCUGGAUUUAUCAAAGAAAGACUGAGCUAUCCUUAACUAUGGAGACAUUGCUAAGAAGCUCAAGGACUAUGAACUUUUGGGACCUCGUGAAAGGAAUUUGUUACAUGAGCCCUCAGGAAAUGCACAAGGUCAGAAUUAUGGUAUCUGGAUUACAAAAUCUGAGAGAAAGCAAACAUCACAAUAACUGCAGUUCCUGGGCCAGAAUGCUUACUCGACAGGUUCCUGAGCUAGUGUGCAGAAUACACUGCAUUUAAAUGGCUGCUUCAGUUCCCCGUGCAAGCUGUCAGCGUGGGAGGGCCACUUCUUCUCUGAGUAAUCCCCACUCCAAUCCUACAUCUCCUGAGAAUUCCUACUAUGAAGGUGAAUCAUGCUGGAAGGAACAGACUUGGAACUGCUGCUGAUUCCCCCUAUAAACACUUAAAAGAAGUGAGUUCAGAGCUACACAAAUGUAAUUUGGACUUCGUUUCAGAUGCUUUUAAAAAAGGCAAAUAUCUAUACUAAAAAAAGCUUAUUAAAAUAUAUAUAAUUUUUGCAGGCACCUUUCUUAUGGAGUAAACCCUUUUGGUGUUUUAGAAAAAUGUGUUUUAAAUAGUUCAAUUAUUUCAAUUAGUUACUGUGAAUAAGCAGUUACAUUGUAGAACAAGGUUUUGUUUUGAAGCAAUAGUGACAUCACAAACAAGUCUGUUAAUUGUAACACACCCAUUGAUUCCAAUAGGCUUUGGGUCAGGCCCUAGGAAAACAAAUUAAGUAGUAACCUCUUUUAUUCUUUCAUGACAUUGCCUCUGUAGAUCCCCACUGAAUAUACUAGCAACUAGUGGCAAUCCUCAAGACGAGGACUGAGGAGGAAGACUCAUGUGAAAAGUGACUGACACACUGCUCUUCCAAAUGGAACAUCCAUUCUGAUCUGGACUUGGUAUGGACAAAAUAAUACUUUGCAAAUGUAUGAUCUGAGCACCAAGUAGCAGCCAGCAGAUCUCAGUGAACAAAUGCUGCAGAAGCUGCCACUUUCGCCCAAAUCCCAAUAGUAGAAGAGGUUUGAGUCAAAGGUACAGUUACUUCAUCAAGAUCAUAUCCUGUCUUGAUCCAUUCAGAUCGCAUCUGGACUAAAACUGAUUGGCCCUUACCUCUUCCACCAAAAGCCCCAAACCAUUUUGAGGCCUUUUUAAAAGGCUUUGUCCUAUUGAGGAAUUAACAGAGAGCCCUUUUAAUAUGCAAGGUGUACAGAUUAAGGUGGAUUGCAAAAUCAGGAGGCUUAGAAAAUACUGGUCAAAAAGGUCUGAUUUAAAUGAAAAUCC
RNAcentral lists this long non-coding RNA (2056 nucleotides) under Chrysemys picta bellii (western painted turtle). Its description in RNAcentral is "lncRNA (ENSCPBG00000015902.1)". Lineage: Eukaryota; Metazoa; Chordata; Testudines; Emydidae. The record is from RNAcentral.